AGAAUCAACGCUGGCGGCGUGCCUCAGACAUGCAAGUCGAACGCGAAAGUCCCCUUCGGGGGGCAAGUAGAGUGGCGCACGGGUGAGUAACACGUAGGUAAUCUACCUUUGGAUGGGGAAUAACAACCGGAAACGGUUGCUAAUACCGCAUAAUGCAGCGGCACCUAAUGGUGACAGUUGUUAAAGCGGGGGAUCGAAAGACCUCGCGUCUAAAGAGGAGCCUGCGGCGGAUUAGCUAGUUGGUAAGGUAAUGGCUUACCAAGGCGACGAUCCGUAACC
This 279-nucleotide ribosomal RNA is filed under the name uncultured soil bacterium. RNAcentral describes it as "partial 16S ribosomal RNA". It matches the Rfam family "Bacterial small subunit ribosomal RNA", at positions 26 to 288 of the family's 1533-position model. The record is from RNAcentral.